This 654-nucleotide long non-coding RNA is filed under the name Marmota monax (woodchuck). Lineage: Eukaryota; Metazoa; Chordata; Mammalia; Rodentia; Sciuridae. The record is from RNAcentral.
CUCCAAAUGCUCCUGCCUCAGCCUCCUGAGCCACUGGGAUUAUAGGUGUGCACCACCAUGCCCGGCUGAGACACUGAUCUAACUCUGUAUUUUUUAUUAAAACAGCUCCAUGAGAUAGACCCCAGUCAUUUUGUUACCAGAAUCAAAAGUUUUGCUGCAUGCUGCUCAAAGAAUGUUAGGAAAGCAGAAGUUGAUAGGAAAACAUGUUUAUUCAAAGCCAGACUUGAGGAAGAUAGAGAUCUUUUCUGUCUCAAAUCUCCAAGGAAAGGUGGGGAGGUCAUUGAGGGAACAGCAUUUAUUUAUUUUUUGAUUAAUUUUAUUAAUUCUACUCCACUUGUGUACAAUGAAUUGAAGAACUUUCUGCUGUCAUGUAUAACUGAUCAGUGGAGUAGAAUUUUUGACUUCUCUGGUUAUAUAUGAAGUAGAGUCACACCAUUUCUGUAAUCAUGGUACUUAGGGUAAUGAUGUUCAUCUCAUUCCACCAUCUUUCCUACCCCCAUGCCUCCUCCCCCCUCCCUCAUCCAAAUCUCCUCCACUCAUCCAUGCACCCCCCACCCAUUAUGAAUUAGCAUUUACUUAUCAGAGAAAACAUUUGGCCCCUGGUUUUAUGAGAUUGGCAUAUUUCACUUAGCGUAAUAUUCUCCAACUCCAUCC